AACGAACGCUGGCGGCAUGCCUAACACAUGCCAGUCGAACGAGACCUUCGGGUCUAGUGGCGCACGGGUGCGUAACGCGUGGGAACCUGCCCUUAGGUUCGGAAUAACUCCCCGAAAGGGGUGCUAAUACCGGAUAAUGUCUUCGGACCAAAGAUUUAUCGCCUUUGGAUAGGCCCGCGUUGGAUUAGCUAGUUGGUAGGGUAAAAGCCUACCAAGGCGACGAUCCAUAGCUGGUCUGAGAGGAUGAUCAGCCACACUGGGACUGAGACACGGCCCAGACUCCUACGGGAGGCAGCAGUGGGGAAUAUUGGACAAUGGGCGAAAGCCUGAUCCAGCAAUGCCGCGUGAGUGAUGAAGGCCUUAGGGUUGUAAAGCUCUUUUACCCGGGAUGAUAAUGACAGUACCGGGAGAAUAAGCUCCGGCUAACUCCGUG
This 433-nucleotide ribosomal RNA is filed under the name uncultured bacterium. RNAcentral's name for it is "partial 16S ribosomal RNA". It matches the Rfam family "Bacterial small subunit ribosomal RNA", at positions 29 to 507 of the family's 1533-position model. The record is from RNAcentral.